RNAcentral lists this ribosomal RNA (266 nucleotides) under uncultured bacterium. RNAcentral describes it as "partial 16S ribosomal RNA". It matches the Rfam family "Bacterial small subunit ribosomal RNA", at positions 523 to 774 of the family's 1533-position model. The record is from RNAcentral.
UGACGAGGGGGGCGAGCGUUGUUCGGAAUUAUUGGGCGUAAAGGGUGCGUAGGCGGUUUGGUAAAGUCUGAUGUGAAAUCUAUGGGCUCAACUCAAUAGUCUGCAUCGGAAACUGCCGGGCUUGAGUAUGGGAGAGGUGAGUUGGAAAUUUCCUGGUGUAGCGGUGAAAAUGCGUAGAUAUCAAGGAGGAACACCUGUGGCGAAAAGCGGCUCACUGGACCUAUAAACUGACGCUGAUGACACGAAAAGCUAGGGGGGAGCAAAAC